GGAGAAAAGGGGAGGCAGAGCUCCUCCAUCUGAAUAGAGACACGGAGCGUCAGAUAAUGUGCCGAGAUCCCAGAAUGCGCUUUGAAGACGAGGCCCGAGGGACAGAAAGAGGGACCGGCUGUCUAGUAGAGUCUUCCUCCCUCCUCCAGGGAGACAAGUCAGUGGACUUGUCUGGACCUCCAGGACAGUGGGAUAGGGAGAAUGGAGGUGGGGGUGGGGAUGGCAGAAAGGAGGUGAAAAGGAACACCACAGGGUCCACGGGCUAGAGGAGGGCCACGGAACCUCCUGGCCUAGGCGGGGGUGUGGGGUAUUCGAGCUUCACAAAGUUGGACCAGCUGUUUCAAUCUGUGGCAUCUCGCCACAGGGUCGGCCUUGGCCAUUCAGCCCCUCUUGGUUUGUGGCCCCCGAGUAACCCCUGAGGACUGCGAGCGAUGUUCGAGUGGGCAGAAUAUGCCAGGGGAUGUGCCCACCGCCCACCGGAGGCUCCUGAGGCUCCUGGCCGUGCCCAUGAAGGAAACCCGCUCGGAGAUCCGGAGCCCGCGAGGAAGGUUGAAUGUGAAAACUGUGUCCCAUCCAUCAUUUCACUGACACUGUCCUACCUCCAAGACCCCAUCCCCUGUGGGAGGUUGGCCCACCCCACAGCAACUGGCGCCCAGGAUCAUGGACUCUUGGCUAGUUAAGAGACAGCACCUUGGAAACAGCAAGAUGGAUUUUUCAUUCCUUCACCCUUUUUUCUUCCUCAAGAUCUUGAGUAAACACCUUAAUUCUUAAAAGCAUGCUUUUGUGUUUAAUGUUUAUUUUGUGCGUCUCUAUGUGUGUCUGUGGUAACAAGUCCUCCUCUCAGUGUCUUCCUAAUUGGGCAUUCACAAAUUAUGAUCAGAGUCUUCCUGAAAGGAAGUAA
This 901-nucleotide long non-coding RNA is filed under the name Monodelphis domestica (gray short-tailed opossum). RNAcentral's name for it is "lncRNA (ENSMODG00000032221.2)". The record is from RNAcentral. Lineage: Eukaryota; Metazoa; Chordata; Mammalia; Didelphimorphia; Didelphidae.